CUCAGCAUGGCUCCCUGCAAUCUACUCACCUACACAUAGAGAACAACUCUUCAGAAAGAGGAAACACUCCGUUUCUCUGUGAAAACAACAUUUAAAAAGGAUACCAGCUGCUGCUGGUGAGGCAAAUAAAGGCAAAGUUAGUGAGGAGCUCUUGUGCAUGAAAGCCUCAGGCUCUGGAAUAAAUAAAUGGAGGAGUGGAAGGUUAAACUGGGUAGUGCCCGAGACUGAUGGAGGGCAGAGUCCACCACACACAUUAUACAGAGGAAUGAAAAUGUGGUUGGUGAAAUGUAGAGAGUGCUGAACAUUUACCAAAGAGCUGGCAUGAAAACUGCUCAUCAAGUGAGCCAUAAAACUGUGGGGAGAGAUGGACAUAUAUGAGUAGUGUCAGGUGUAUGCAGGAAGCAUGAGUCUUGAUGGCAUGGAGAUGUGGAGAAGGUGAGGGGCCUCUCUGAAUGGUGCCUUUGCCGUGGGAAAAGAACUUGACAUACAGACAGGGUCUUUCUAUGGAGUUCAGGCUGCCCUUGAACUCACAGUGAUCCUCUACACUACCACACCUGACUAUAGUUCUUCUUGAGUAUCACUUGAAUUCAGUGACCUGUGCAUGUUGUUAAUACCAAAGAAGACCGAACCUUGGCUGAUAAUUUAUGGAUCCUCAGGUAAUCAUACCAUGACUGCCACAAAAAUAACUUUCUUUUCCACUUAAUGUUCCCCUCUACUCCCCUAGUGGGCUCUGACAGUACCUGAGUAACUCUGGUGGAAGUCACACAAACUGCAUUUUACUUGAAUAGUUCCUGAGGUAGUACGAGAAUGUCUCUACACUUGACUAAAUGAGUCAGGUCAGCUUUUCCUUAAAUUAUCUUCCUUUGCAUCAGUGACAUCCACAUUUAAUUUGUUGCCUUAUUUAACAUAAUCACCUGCUUUCAGCCCAAAAUAAAUAAAAGGUACAUUUCCAGGGAGGGAAAAAGUUAGUAAAGCCUGUAUUGCUUUGCCCAGCCCCAAAUGUAGUAGUAUAGUUUGUUUAUUUACAGAGGAGCGACUGGGGUCUAAUAUGUCAAGAUAUUCAAAAAAACUGUUCCAAGUAUGAAUUCACAGUACUUAGAAUCCCGUGACUCAGUUUUCCGCAAAUCUGCUAUUUGGGGAAAUGCUCACAGAUCAGCAACUGUGCGCUUUUGCUGGCACCACAAGCCCUGCUAAUGUGCACAAUUCCAAACUCUAAGCAGUUUCGACAGGGAAAACAAUGAGAACAGCAUUGCAGCAUGAAGCAGUUGGCAGGGAACUUCAGCGAUAACUUAAUCUACCCUUUUGUUUUGGACACAAUCCCACUUUAAACUAUUUUGGAUAGGUAAAAACCCAUGGUAUCCAGUGGAUUUUCAUCAGUAACAAUCUUCGAAUAUUCCCACCCUCCAAAUUGGGGAGCAGUUGCUUCUGUCUGAAGCCCAGCUGAGUGCCUUUGCCUGAUUUCUCUGAUCUGGUAAAGAGCCAAGUUGGAGCAGUUGCCCAUCUCUUUCCCAUGUGCUCCAGGAUUAAAUUUGGAUCUGUUUCCGCUUCCCGGUGAUUGGUUUGGAGGGCCAGAUGGCCCAGUUCUUUGCAAUGAAAUAUAAUGUGAGAAAGAAUGUGGGUCUUUGAUAAUACUAUUGAGCUGCUGAAUCUACCAAGCUGAAGCCAUUCUACCCCAGGGUUUCUUGUUAUGUGAAAUAGUAAAAAUUUCCUUAUUGUUUAAGAUUGGUGACUAUAAAUUGAUGGCUUUUUUUUU
Heterocephalus glaber (naked mole-rat) is the source of this 1753-nucleotide long non-coding RNA. Lineage: Eukaryota; Metazoa; Chordata; Mammalia; Rodentia; Bathyergidae. The record is from Ensembl.